UCAGUUCUAGAACUCAACGGACAUUUGAGUAGCAUUAAGUAAUAGUAUUUAUAUGGUAUUAUAGAGUGAUUUUUCUCUCCUAUAGGAGAGCUUUGACCACUGCCCCACCACACCACCAAAUGAUUUACUGACUCUGUCUACUAGUCAUUAGCAUAAAUAUAUGCUUGAGCUAUCUCUAAUAGCAUGACAUGUUGAUGAAAUUCGUCCUCUAUCACUCAGUCUAUUUACCUACUGUACUGUGUGUGUGUUGGGCUAAAACAUCUCAUGUAUUGAUUUGGAGCAUUUAAAGAGCUCUUACCCACCAAAUAGUAGAUGUGGCAUAUGGAAAAGCUGACCGAAAACCAGCCCUGGAAGGACAGGGCAAUAACAUCCAAUUUGUGUUUUGUCACCCAGAAAUCCCUCUCACUCUUUUGCUCAAUGGCUCAGAAAUCCAUUGAAAACCUGGAACCGUGUGUGUUUGCAUUUGUGUGACCAGGCGGGAGCUAAAUGGCUUCUGUGGUAACACAACAUUAGACUCAACAUUUUGUGAGCUUCGAAAACACACACACAAAUGCACAAAGUCAAGGAGGCAAGCUUACCCUCAGUGCAUAAAUGCUUCAUAGGACCCAAAUAGGCAUCUUUUCAAAUGCCUGUGACCGCUGUGACUGAAUACAAAUAAUGCAAAGCUUUUGCUGGCUUUGUAUUCAAGCACGGCAUGAUAAGUUAAAAAAAUCACCGCCAUCUUCAUGAAGAUUAGAAUCAAUGCAAAGAUUAAAUCAUUUAGUAAUAUAUUAUGCAUGACGAUGAAUAUUUUAUUUGUUUUGGCUCUAAGUUUGUGCAAAAUUCAGAAUUGAAGAAUUGACUCCCCUUCGGUUCAUCAGUGUGAAACUGAAUUGAAUUGACUACACUUCCAGGAAAUUCGACAGAUGGUGGCGGUAAUGCACCAAAAAGUUGUUUGCCAACCGCCAAUAAACCUUAAUAGAAGAAGAAGACAUCAAGAAGAUCGAGGCAGACGUUAAAACUGCACGCUGUUAAAACUUCACCGAGAUCGGUGUUGGACCGGCGAACACUUAGGCCUAUGUUAUCAGAGGACUUGCUAACAUGAAGAAAACGGUCCAGAGGUUCCACCUAAGAGCCGGGACUGUCGAAUAGUAAGAGACAACGAAAAGGGGGGAACUGUCUUUAAGCUGUGGAGUCAGAUGGAGGGCUCGCAUUUACCUCAAAAACGGCAUUGCAGAAGACUCGAACAACUAGAACCAACUCAAGCACACAACGGUGACACACAUUUGUAAGACCUUUCCCUGUGAUAUAAAAUUUCCCUGUGGUAAUUAUUCAGAUUCUUCUCAUUCUCAUUGUGUAGCACUGUUUUAAGCUUAGUGAAUAUUAUGUACAGUAAGCACUAGAAGUAGAGACUUGUACUACUUGGGGUAGUUUUAAAUUAACUUUAAUUUUGCUUUUGAUGCAAAAAUUAUCAAAAGAAAAGAUGUAGUGUAGUAAAAGAUGUUUUGUGUAGUAAUUCAAUUGUUUUAAUAUGAAUAUUGUUUUAGUAGUGUUCAGGACAGUAAUUGUCUGUACAUCUAAAUCAGUUCUUUAAACUUUUUGUUGUCUAAGACCUUGAUAUUAUACCUUAAGGGAAAAAGAAAGAUAUUUAAU
Molecule: long non-coding RNA, 1632 nt
Organism: Onychostoma macrolepis
Lineage: Eukaryota; Metazoa; Chordata; Actinopteri; Cypriniformes; Cyprinidae
Exons: 5
Source: RefSeq, a predicted model, not a curated record